Molecule: ribosomal RNA, 1156 nt
Filed under: Segatella copri
Lineage: Bacteria; Pseudomonadati; Bacteroidota; Bacteroidia; Bacteroidales; Prevotellaceae
Description: partial 23S ribosomal RNA
Rfam family: Bacterial large subunit ribosomal RNA
Source: RNAcentral
GCAUAGCGGUAUCCUGAGUAACGCGGGACACGAGGAAUCCUGCGCGAAUCUGCCGGGACCAUCCGGUAAGGCUAAAUACUCCCGUGAGACCGAUAGCGAACGAGUACUGUGAAGGAAAGGUGAAAAGAACCCCGAGCAGGGGAGUGAAAUAGUUCCUGAAACCAUACGCCUACAAGCGGUCGGAGCAUCUUACGAUGUGACGGCGUGCCUUUUGCAUAAUGAUCCUACGAGUUACCGUCACUGGCGAGGUUGAGUGUCAUGAGACACGUAGCCGCAGUGAAAGCGAGCCUGAACAGGGCGCACAGUCAGUGGGGGUAGACGCGAAACCAAGUGAUCUACACUUGGCCAGGAUGAAGUCCCGGUAACACGGGAUGGAGGUCCGCACCAAUAAGCGUUGAAAAGCUUCUGGAUGAGCCGAGUGUAGGAGUGAAAGGCCAAUCAAACUUGGAGAUAGCUCGUACUCCCCGAAAGGCAUUUAGGUGCCGCGUCGGAUGGUCACCGUGAGAGGUAGAGCGACCGAUAGGACAAGAGGGCUUCACCGCCUAUCGAGUCCUGACGAACUCCGAAUGCUCACGGUCUGCAGUCCGGCAGUAAGGGGGCGGGUGCUAAGGUCCGUCCCCGAGAGGAGAAGAAUCCAGACCGCCGUCUAAGGUCCCGGAGUUCUGCCUGAGUUAGUCUAACGAAGUCUGGUCCCUAUGACAGCUAGGAUGUUGGCUUGGAAGCAGCCAUUCAUUCAAAGAGUGCGUAACAGCUCACUAGUCGAGGGUCCGGGCAUGGAUAAUAAUCGGGUAUAAGGCAGACACCGAAGGCGCGGGAUAGCAUUUAAGAAAGUAUCGGUAGGGGAGCAUACUCACAGCGUCGAAUGGUGUACGUAAGUUAUCCUGGAGCGGUGAGUAAAGCAAAUGUAGGAAUAAGUAACGAUAAGGAGGGUUAGAUUCCCUCCCGCUGUAAGACCAAGGUUUCCCGGGCAAUGCCAAUCAGCCCGGGGUCAGUCGGGUCCUAAGUCUAAGCCGAACGGCGAUGGCGAUGGCAGAGACGGUUAAUAUUCCGUCACUGCCGCAUGGGGCGACGUGGAGACGGAGCAGUGAAACCACCGCGGGGCGACGGAAGUCCCCGUUGAAGAGUGUAGGCGUUGAGGAUGGCAGGCAAAUCCACC